CGUCUUCGAUCUGUUGCGGGCAGAUAAAGUGGAUGUGGCUGUCAAAGCCGCCUGCGGUCAGGAUGCGGCCCUCGCCCGCGAUGGCUUCGGUGCCGGGUCCGACGAUGAUGUUCACGCCCGGCUGCGUGUCGGGAUUCCCAGCCUUGCCGAUCUUGUGAAUGCGCCCGUCGCGCAGGCCAACGUCUGCUUUGUAGAUGCCGGUGUGGUCCACGAUCAGCGCGUUGGUGAUCACCGUAUCGACCGCACCGUCCGCGCGAGUGGUCUGCGCUUGGCCCAUGCCGUCCCGAAUG
RNAcentral lists this small RNA (290 nucleotides) under Cognatishimia maritima. Its description in RNAcentral is "Thalassobius sp. GSW-6 5' ureB small RNA". It matches the Rfam family "5' ureB small RNA". Lineage: Bacteria; Pseudomonadati; Pseudomonadota; Alphaproteobacteria; Rhodobacterales; Paracoccaceae. The record is from Rfam by way of RNAcentral.